UGUCAUUCUCUGCCCGCUGCGCAGGGCGAGCGCUCGCUGCACGCGGGCGAUGCCCAGGCCGCCUGGGUAGGCGAUCGAGGGGCUCGGUGAGUCCCAGGGGGCUCGGCUGGAACUCCCUGCGUGUCCUGAUUGAGUCCCGAUUCCCCGGGAGCAGGAGCCACGCAGCCCCAGGAGCUCCCGGUUGCAGCUUCUUGUAACCGCCGCCGGGCGGUGCGCCUGGCAGGUUUGGUGGUGCCCAGCGCCGGGCACUUGGUUGGCAGAACCCAGGCAGUGGUGCAAAGCAGAUUGUCCUCUUUGCACCGCCACCAGCUCAGUGCCAGACCAGAAAGGCCCUUGGCGAGCUGGCAAGCUGGCAAGCAAGCGCUGGAUGCCUGCAAGACUCCCUGGCAUUUGUGCCCGGAAUAUCCACAGUUCUUCAGAUUUCAGCAGUUCAGCAUGCAAGUUUGUUGAGGAUAACGUGAUUAUAAGGCCAAGUAAGAAGAAAACACUCUCACCAAGACUGUUCAAAGGGAAUACAUUCUGAACACUUACUUGGACAAACAUUUCUCAAAGGUAAAUAUUAUCAUUG
Suncus etruscus (white-toothed pygmy shrew) is the source of this 568-nucleotide long non-coding RNA. RefSeq lists it as uncharacterized. The transcript has 3 exons. The record is from RefSeq and is a predicted model, not a curated record. NCBI's taxonomy places the organism in Eukaryota, Metazoa, Chordata, Mammalia, Eulipotyphla, Soricidae.